RNAcentral lists this ribosomal RNA (432 nucleotides) under uncultured bacterium. RNAcentral's name for it is "bacterial SSU rRNA". It matches the Rfam family "Bacterial small subunit ribosomal RNA", at positions 75 to 502 of the family's 1533-position model. The record is from RNAcentral.
GGAGCUUGCUCCCAGGCGUCGAGUGGCGGACGGGUGAGUAAUACAUAGGAAUCUGCCCAGUAGCGGGGGACAACCUGGUGAAAACCAGGCUAAUACCGCAUACGCCCUACGGGGGAAAGCAGGGGAUCUUCGGACCUUGCACUAUUGGAUGAGCCUAUGUCAGAUUAGCUUGUUGGUGGGGUAAUGGCCUACCAAGGCGACGAUCUGUAGCUGGUCUGAGAGGACGAUCAGCCACACUGGGACUGAGACACGGCCCAGACUCCUACGGGAGGCAGCAGUGGGGAAUAUUGCACAAUGGGCGAAAGCCUGAUGCAGCAAUGCCGCGUGUGUGAAGAAGGCCUGCGGGUUGUAAAGCACUUUCAGUGGGGAGGAAACAGUUGCGGGUUAAUAACCCGUGGCCUUGACGUACCCACAGAAGAAGCACCGCUAACU